Molecule: ribosomal RNA, 115 nt
Filed under: uncultured bacterium
Lineage: Bacteria
Description: partial 16S ribosomal RNA
Source: RNAcentral
GCAUAGGCUAUUAACCUAUACCGUUUCUUCUCUUGCGAAAGAGCUUACAACCAAGGCCUUCUUCACUCACGCGGAAUGGCUGGAUCAGGGUUGCCCCCAUUGUCCAAAAUUCCCC